Molecule: ribosomal RNA, 501 nt
Filed under: bacterium EP1.20
Lineage: Bacteria
Description: bacterial SSU rRNA
Rfam family: Bacterial small subunit ribosomal RNA
Source: RNAcentral
CUAGCGGCGGACGGGUGAGUAACGCGUGGGAACGUGCCCUUUGCUACGGAAUAGCCCCGGGAAACUGGGAGUAAUACCGUAUGUGCCCUUUGGGGGAAAGAUUUAUCGGCAAAGGAUCGGCCCGCGUUGGAUUAGGUAGUUGGUGGGGUAAUGGCCCACCAAGCCGACGAUCCAUAGCUGGUUUGAGAGGAUGAUCAGCCACACUGGGACUGAGACACGGCCCAGACUCCUACGGGAGGCAGCAGUGGGGAAUCUUAGACAAUGGGGGCAACCCUGAUCUAGCCAUGCCGCGUGAGUGAUGAAGGCCUUAGGGUUGUAAAGCUCUUUCAGCUGGGAAGAUAAUGACGGUACCAGCAGAAGAAGCCCCGGCUAACUCCGUGCCAGCAGCCGCGGUAAUACGGAGGGGGGCUAGCGUUGUUCGGAAUUACUGGGCGUAAAGCGCACGUAGGCGGACUGGAAAGUCAGAGGUGAAAUCCCAGGGCUCAACCUUGGAACUGCCUU